This 490-nucleotide ribosomal RNA is filed under the name uncultured bacterium. Its description in RNAcentral is "partial 16S ribosomal RNA". It matches the Rfam family "Bacterial small subunit ribosomal RNA", at positions 28 to 507 of the family's 1533-position model. The record is from RNAcentral.
GAUGAACGCUAGCUCCAGGCUUAACACAUGCAAGUCGCGGGGCAGCAUGGGGGUUGCUUGCAAUCCCCGAUGGCGACCGGCGCACGGGUGAGUAACGCGUAUCCAACCUGCCCUUCACCACGGGAUAACCCGGCGAAAGUCGGACUAAUACCGUAUGUUGUCCAUUGACGGCAUCCGAUUUGGACGAAAGGUUUGGCGGUGAAGGAUGGGGAUGCGUCCGAUUAGCUGGACGGCGGGGUGACGGCCCACCGUGGCGACGAUCGGUAGGGGUUCUGAGAGGAAGGUCCCCCACACUGGAACUGAGACACGGUCCAGACUCCUACGGGAGGCAGCAGUGAGGAAUAUUGGUCAAUGGGCGUAAGCCUGAACCAGCCAAGUAGCGUGCAGGAUGACGGCCCUAUGGGUUGUAAACUGCUUUUAUGCGGGGAUAAAGUGGCCCACGUGUGGGUUUUUGCAGGUACCGCAUGAAUAAGGACCGGCUAAUUCCGUG